This 253-nucleotide ribosomal RNA is filed under the name uncultured bacterium. RNAcentral describes it as "partial 16S ribosomal RNA". It matches the Rfam family "Bacterial small subunit ribosomal RNA", at positions 524 to 776 of the family's 1533-position model. The record is from RNAcentral.
UACAGAGGUCUCAAGCGUUGUUCGGAUUCAUUGGGCGUAAAGGGUGCGUAGGCGGCGCGGUAAGUCGGGUGUGAAAUCUCGGAGCUUAACUCCGAAACUGCAUUCGAUACUGCCGUGCUUGAGGACUGGAGAGGAGACUGGAAUUUACGGUGUAGCGGUGAAAUGCGUAGAUAUCGUAAGGAAGGCCAGUGGCGAAGGCGGGUCUCUGGACAGUUCCUGACGCUGAGGCACGAAGGUCAGGGGAGCAAACGGG